RNAcentral lists this ribosomal RNA (287 nucleotides) under Acidithiobacillus sp. RNAcentral's name for it is "partial 16S ribosomal RNA". It matches the Rfam family "Bacterial small subunit ribosomal RNA", at positions 504 to 777 of the family's 1533-position model. Lineage: Bacteria; Pseudomonadati; Pseudomonadota; Acidithiobacillia; Acidithiobacillales; Acidithiobacillaceae. The record is from RNAcentral.
CGUGCCAGCAGCCGCGGUAAUACGGGGGGUGCAAGCGUUAAUCGGAAUCACUGGGCGUAAAGGGUGCGUAGGCGGUGCAUUAGGUCUCAUGUCGUGAAAUCCCCGGGCUCAACCUGGGAAUGGCCAUGGUGGAAACCGGUGUACUAGAGUAUGGGAGAGGGUGGUGGAAUUCCAGGUGUAGCGGUGAAUACAUGCGUAGAGAUCUGGAGGAACAUCAGUGGCGAAGGCGGCCACCUGGCCCUAAAUACUGACGCUGAGGCACGAAAGCGUGGGGAAAGCAAACAGGA